AGCAGCCGCGGUAAUUCCAGCUCCAAUAGCGUAUAUUAAAGUUGUUGCAGUUAAAAAGCUCGUAGUUGAAUUUCGGGACUAAUAUGUCGGUCGUACUUUGUACGUACUAGCAUUAUUGGUUUCUCCCUUCUGACGAACCACGAUGUCAUUAAUUUGGUGUCAUGGGAAAUCAGGACUGUUACUUUGAAAAAAUUAGAGUGUUUAAAGCAAGCUCGCGCUUGAAUACAUUAGCAUGGAAUAAUGAAAUAGGACGUUUGAUUCUAUUUUGUUGGUUUCUAGGAUCGACGUAAUGAUUAAUAGGGAUAGUUGGGGGCAUUAGUAUUCAAUUGUCAGAGGUGAAAUUCUUGGAUUUAUUGAAGACUAACUACUGCGAAAGCAUUUGCCAAGGAUGUUUUCAUUAAUCAAGAACGAAAGUUAGGGGAUCGAAGACGAUCAGAUACCGUCGUAGUCUUAACCAUAAACUACGCCGACUAGGGAUCAGAUGAU
RNAcentral lists this ribosomal RNA (486 nucleotides) under uncultured Glomus. RNAcentral's name for it is "SSU rRNA". It matches the Rfam family "Eukaryotic small subunit ribosomal RNA", at positions 569 to 1061 of the family's 1831-position model. The record is from RNAcentral. Lineage: Eukaryota; Fungi; Glomeromycota; Glomeromycetes; Glomerales; Glomeraceae.